UGGUAUGUAGCUUAAUAGGUUGAGUAUAGCCUUGAUAGGGCCGGGGAUAUUGGUUCAAUUCCAAUCUUACCAA
Molecule: transfer RNA, 73 nt
Filed under: Polymastia littoralis
Lineage: Eukaryota; Metazoa; Porifera; Demospongiae; Polymastiida; Polymastiidae
Description: tRNA-Ile
Rfam family: tRNA
About the family: Transfer RNA (tRNA) molecules are approximately 80 nucleotides in length. Their secondary structure includes four short double-helical elements and three loops (D, anti-codon, and T loops).
Source: RNAcentral